CAGUAGCCGCGGGAAUACGAGGGGGGCAAGCGUUGUUCGGAAUUAUUGGGCGUAAAGGGUGCGUAGGCGGCUUGACAAGUCUUGUGUGAAAUCUAUGGGCUCAACCCAUAGUCUGCACGGGAAACUGUCGGGCUUGAGAAUGGGAGAGGUGAGUGGAAUUUCCGGCGUAGCGGUGAAAUGCGUAGAUAUCGGAAGGAACACCUGUGGCGAAAGCGGCUCACUGGACAAUAACUGACGCUGAUGCACGAAAGCUAGGGGAGCAAACAGGAUUAGAUACCCCCGUAGUCCCUGUCUCUUAUAC
RNAcentral lists this ribosomal RNA (301 nucleotides) under uncultured bacterium. Its description in RNAcentral is "partial 16S ribosomal RNA". It matches the Rfam family "Bacterial small subunit ribosomal RNA", at positions 509 to 807 of the family's 1533-position model. The record is from RNAcentral.